CGCCAGACUCCUACGGGAGGCAGCAGUGGGGGAUAUUGCACAAUGGGGGAACCCUGAUGCAGCGACGCCGCGUGGGUGAAGGAGCGUUUCGGCGCGUAAAGCCCUAUCGGCAGGGAAGAAGGAGGACGGUACCUGACUAAGAAGCCCCGGCUAACUACGUGCCAGCAGCCGCGGUAAUACGUAGGGGGCAAGCGUUAUCCGGAUUUACUGGGUGUAAAGGGGGCGCAGACGGCAGCGCAAGCCAGGAGUGAAAGCCCGGGGCCCAACCCCCGGACUGCUUUGGAAACUGUGCUGCUGGAGUGCAGGAGAGGCAAGUGGAAUUCCUAGUGUAGCGGUGAAAUGCGUAGAUAUUAGGAGGAACACCAGUGGCGAAGGCGGCUUGCUGGACUGUAACUGACGUUGAGGCUCGAAAUCGCGGGGAGCAAACAGGAUUAGAUACCCGCGUA
Molecule: ribosomal RNA, 446 nt
Filed under: uncultured bacterium
Lineage: Bacteria
Description: bacterial SSU rRNA
Rfam family: Bacterial small subunit ribosomal RNA
Source: RNAcentral